RNAcentral lists this long non-coding RNA (1438 nucleotides) under Papio anubis (olive baboon). Its description in RNAcentral is "lncRNA (ENSPANG00000051381.1)". Lineage: Eukaryota; Metazoa; Chordata; Mammalia; Primates; Cercopithecidae. The record is from RNAcentral.
CACAAUGCUUAUAGCCAUGGGGAGUUAGCUGCUCUGGUGGAGAGAAGUGAUGCUAAGGGAAGGAGGCAGGAAAAAUUGAAAGAGUGAGGGCAGUGGGGGUAACUAGUUCCAGGGCAGUGAAAAAGGAUGACUUGGGCAUUCAUGAAGCUUUAAUGCCUUCAAAAUCUGGAGGAACUGGAACUGGACCACCCUCCACAGCAUGCAUGCAUAAGGAUCAUCCAGGGAUGCAGUCUUACCAUCCAGGAGCUCAAAGCCACUAUCAACACUACUUUCCUGAUGACAGCACCAACUAUAGAUACUCACCAGUAGAAGAAAAGCAGGAAAGUAGUAUUAGCCAUAGAAAAGAAGGAGGAGGCCAGGUGCGAUGGCUCACACCUGUAAUCCCAGCACUUUGGGAGGCGGAGGCGGGCAGAUCGCUUGAGGUCAGGACUUCGAGACCAGCCUGGCCAACAUGGUGAAACCCAGUCUCUACUAAAAAUACAAAAAUCUGUCAGGUGUUGGGGCAGGUGCCUGUAGUCCCAGCUACUGGGGAGGCUGCGGCAGAAUUGCUUGAACCCAGGAGGUGGAGGUUGCAGUGAGCCAAGAUUGCGCCAUUGCACUCCAGCCUGAGCAACAAAGUAAGACUCCAUCUCAAACAAACAAAAAAAAAAAAAAGGAGGAGGAGAGGUGUGUGAUAAGUCCUGAUGACAUAGGUGUCCUGAUUGUCUAGGCAGCCAAAGGACACAUGGUAAGCCAUCCAAAAGUGCCUUCAGGGCAAAAGAAUAGAGAGAAAAGGGGUCACUGUGCUGGUGGGGUACACUUCAGAGGAGUAAAUUUUAUGUCAAAGCAGGAAUCUGGUCAGAGGUUCCGAAUUGGGAGUACAAUUUCAUUGUUUUUGCAAUUUCUACAAAUUAACUUUAUUGUCAGAAAAAGCUGAUGGUGAGGACAUGCAUUGCAGUUUGCAGGAGGGAAAUGUCAAAUGAGGACUUUAUCACAUAUGACAUGAGAGAAAAGUAAAAGCUAUUUCUAAAAUCAAAAGCUGUUGUUCAUCCUGAAUUGAAUUUUCUUAAUUUGGGUGGUAUAGAGUCUCUUUGAAGUCUUGUUCCAAUCUCCUUCUGUUGCAUUGUUGAUGGUAACUGUUGACUUUGUGUAGUGUAGAAGCAAGAAGCAUGUCCUCAUAGUACAAGUGCAGGGAAGGAUAGAACAAACUUUCGUUGAUGCAAACAUUUAUUAUUUAUUUAUUUAUUUAUUUUUGAGACAGAGUACUGAAUUCACCUCUUGGAAGUAUUGAAAGGAGAUGAACAAGAUUAGUUUCUGCCUUCACUAGCUUACCUUGGUUUUUUUCCACCAGGGAAAAAUCAAUUCGUGGUUCACUACUGUAUUAGGCAAUUCUUGCAUUGCUAUAAAGAAAUGUCUAAGACUUGUUAGUUUAUAAGAAAAGAGAUUUAAUUGGUUCACA